Molecule: ribosomal RNA, 449 nt
Filed under: uncultured bacterium
Lineage: Bacteria
Description: partial 16S ribosomal RNA
Rfam family: Bacterial small subunit ribosomal RNA
Source: RNAcentral
GUCGAGAAUCUUUCACAAUGGGGGCAACCCUGAUGGAGCGACGCCGCGUGGAGGAUAAGGUCUUCGGAUUGUAAACUCCUGUCAUGCGUGAACAAGGUUGCUUGGUUAAUACCUGGGCAAAUUGAUGGUAACGCAAGAGGAAGAGACGGCUAACUCUGUGCCAGCAGCCGCGGUAAUACAGAGGUCUCAAGCGUUGUUCGGAAUCACUGGGCGUAAAGGGUGCGUAGGGGGCGUGGUAAGUCAGAUGUGAAAGCCCGGGGCUCAACCGCGGAACUGCAUCCGAUACUGCCAUGCUAGAGUACUGGAGAGGUGACUAGAAUUCUCGGUGUAGCAGUGAAAUGCGUAGAUAUCGAGAGGAAUACCAAAGGCGUAGGCAGGUCACUGGACAGUUACUGACACUGAGGCACGAAGGCCAGGGGAGCGAACGGGAUUAGAUACCCCUGUAGUCC